Molecule: ribosomal RNA, 253 nt
Filed under: uncultured bacterium
Lineage: Bacteria
Description: partial 16S ribosomal RNA
Rfam family: Bacterial small subunit ribosomal RNA
Source: RNAcentral
UACGUAGGGGGCAAGCGUUGUCCGGAAUUAUUGGGCGUAAAGAGCGUGUAGGCGGUUAGGUAGGUCCGUUGUGAAAACUCGAGGCUCAACCUCGAGACGCCGAUGGAAACCAUCUGACUAGAGUCCGGAAGAGGAGAGUGGAAUUCCUGGUGUAGCGGUGGAAUGCGCAGAUAUCAGGAGGAACACCGAUGGCGAAGGCAAUCCCCUGGGCCUGCACUGACGCUCAUGCACGAAAGCGUGGGGAGCAAACAGG